GGAGUCGGCCAGGCAGUCGCCCCGGCGCCGGUCGCCGGGGAGGAAAGUCCGGGCUCCACAGGGCAGGGUGCCAGGUAAUUCCUGGGCGGCGUGAGCCGACGGAAAGUGCCACAGAAAACAUACCGCCGCGGAUCGCUCCGCGGUAAGGGUGAAAAGGUGCGGUAAGAGCGCACCGCGCUGCCGGUAACGGCGGUGGCAGGGCAAACCCCACCUGGAGCAAGACCGAAUAGGGAUCCCCAGGCGUGGCCCGCGUCGGAUCCGGGUAGGUUGCUUGAGGCGUCCGGUGACGGGCGUCCCAGAUGAAUGGCUGUCCUCGACAGAACCCGGCUUAUCGGCCGGCUCCCGCC
This 347-nucleotide RNase P RNA is filed under the name Gammaproteobacteria bacterium. RNAcentral's name for it is "RNase P RNA component class A". It matches the Rfam family "Bacterial RNase P class A". From Rfam's summary of the family: Ribonuclease P (RNase P) is a ubiquitous endoribonuclease, found in archaea, bacteria and eukarya as well as chloroplasts and mitochondria. Its best characterised activity is the generation of mature 5'-ends of tRNAs by cleaving the 5'-leader elements of precursor-tRNAs. The record is from RNAcentral. Lineage: Bacteria; Pseudomonadati; Pseudomonadota; Gammaproteobacteria.